Molecule: unclassified non-coding RNA, 306 nt
Filed under: Hevea brasiliensis (rubber tree)
Lineage: Eukaryota; Viridiplantae; Streptophyta; Magnoliopsida; Malpighiales; Euphorbiaceae
Source: RNAcentral
CUAUCUGCAGCCCUCCACCGUGUGUGAUAUUCAGUUUUCCAUUACUACCUGAGGUGAGAACUCCACAAGAAAAAAAUCAGGGAUUUUAUUACGGAAUUCAUUUCACCACCAAAACAUCUUAAUAUCUACUUGACAAUGGUAGUCCUGGUACUGAUGAAACCAAAUUUGAAGAAACUCCCCCAGCUGCUAGGUUAAAAUUGGCAUUUUCCCACCAGAAAUUCCCAGUUGAGAAUUUUAGUUAGGUCUGAAUACCAGUUGAAGACUGGCAGCUAGAGAACCCAAUAUGUCUCUUUUUCCAGUGAUGUU